RNAcentral lists this ribosomal RNA (454 nucleotides) under uncultured Lactobacillales bacterium. RNAcentral describes it as "bacterial SSU rRNA". It matches the Rfam family "Bacterial small subunit ribosomal RNA", at positions 917 to 1370 of the family's 1533-position model. The record is from RNAcentral. Lineage: Bacteria; Bacillati; Bacillota; Bacilli; Lactobacillales.
GGGCCCGCACAAGCGGUGGAGCAUGUGGUUUAAUUCGAAGCAACGCGAAGAACCUUACCAGGUCUUGACAUCUAGCGCCAAUCCUAGAGAUAGGACGUUCCCUUCGGGGACGCUAAGACAGGUGGUGCAUGGUUGUCGUUUCAGCUCGUGUCGUGAGAUGUUGGGUUAAGUCCCGCAACGAGCGCAACCCUUAUUAUCAGUUGCCAGCAUUCAGUUGGGCACUCUGGUGAGACUGCCGGUGACAAACCGGAGGAAGGUGGGGAUGACGUCAAAUCAUCAUGCCCCUUAUGACCUGGGCUACACACGUGCUACAAUGGCUAGUACAACGAGUUGCGAGACCGCGAGGUCAAGCUAAUCUCUAAAAGCUAGUCUCAGUUCGGAUUGUAGGCUGCAACUCGCCUACAUGAAGUUGGAAUCGCUAGUAAUCGCGGAUCAGCACGCCGCGGUGAAUACG